Molecule: non-coding RNA, 115 nt
Organism: Triticum aestivum (bread wheat)
Lineage: Eukaryota; Viridiplantae; Streptophyta; Magnoliopsida; Poales; Poaceae
Source: Rfam
UUACUACUCCCUUCGUUCGGAAUUACUUGUCGAAAAAAUGAACCUAUCUAGAUGUAUUUUAGUUGUAGAUACAUCCAUUUUUAUGACAAGUAAUUCCGAACGGAGGAAGUAGAUU